RNAcentral lists this transfer RNA (76 nucleotides) under Piscirickettsia salmonis. RNAcentral's name for it is "tRNA-Trp". It matches the Rfam family "tRNA". Rfam says of the family: Transfer RNA (tRNA) molecules are approximately 80 nucleotides in length. The record is from RNAcentral. Lineage: Bacteria; Pseudomonadati; Pseudomonadota; Gammaproteobacteria; Thiotrichales; Piscirickettsiaceae.
AGGGGCAUAGCUCAAUUGGCAGAGCGUCGGGCUCCAAAACCGAAGGUUGUCGGUUCGAUUCCUACUGCCCCUGGCA